CCGAGUUUACAACUCCCAAACCCCUGUGAACAUACCUACUUGUUGCCUCGGCGGAUCAGCCCGCGCCCCGUAAAACGGGACGGCCCGCCAGAGGACCCCUAAACUCUGUUUCUAUAGUGGAACUUCUGAGUAAAAACCAUAAUAAAUCA
RNAcentral lists this unclassified non-coding RNA (149 nucleotides) under soil metagenome. RNAcentral's name for it is "partial internal transcribed spacer 1". The record is from RNAcentral.